RNAcentral lists this unclassified non-coding RNA (361 nucleotides) under uncultured fungus. RNAcentral describes it as "sequence contains ITS1". The stretch from base 1 to 107 matches the Rfam family "5.8S ribosomal RNA", at positions 50 to 154 of the family's 154-position model. Lineage: Eukaryota; Fungi. The record is from RNAcentral.
GAAAUGCGAUACCUGGUGUGAAUUGCAGAAUCCCGUGAACCAUCGAGUCUUUGAACGCAAGUUGCGCCCGAGGCCAUUCGGCCAAGGGCACGCCUGCCUGGGCGUCACGCUAAACACGCUCCCAACCCCUUACGGGGGAACAGGAUGCAGCAUUUGGCUCCCCGUCACCCAAGGGCGGUGGGCCGAAGAUAUGGCUGCCGGCGCAUCGUGUCGGACACAGCGCGUGGUGAGCGUCCUCGCUAUACGUACCGCAGUGUCUCCGACACAUAGCCGGCGUGAUGGCCUAGAAUGACCCUUGUAACGGUGCGCAUGACGCUCCGACCGCGACCCCAGGUCAGGCGGGACUACCCGCUGAAUUUAA